RNAcentral lists this ribosomal RNA (468 nucleotides) under uncultured bacterium. RNAcentral's name for it is "partial 16S ribosomal RNA". It matches the Rfam family "Bacterial small subunit ribosomal RNA", at positions 28 to 507 of the family's 1533-position model. The record is from RNAcentral.
GACGAUCCCUGGCGGCGUGCUUAACACAUGCAAGUCGAACGGAAAGGCCCUGCUCUUGUGGCGUGCUCGAGUGGCGAACGGGUCUGUAACACGUGAGUAACCUGCCCUUGCCUCUGGGAUAACUUCAGGAAACUGGGGCUAAUACCGGAUAGUAGCUCCUGCGGCAUGGUGGGGGUUGGAAAGUUUCGGCGGUUGGGGAUGGACUCGCGGCUUCUCAGCUUGUUGGGGGGGUGGUGGCUUACCAAGGGUUUGACGGGUAGCCGGCCUGAGAGGGUGACCGGCACCAUUGGGACUGAGAUACGGCCCAUGCUCCUCCGGGAGGCAGCAGUGGGGAAUAUUGCACAAUGGGCGGAAGCCUGAUGCAGCGACGGCGCGUGCGGGACGACGGCCUUAGGGUUGUAACCCGCGUUCGCGUGGGGCGAAGCGUGAGUGCCGGUAAUAGGUAAAGGAGCACCGGCUAACUACGAG